ACACCUCAACUCUUUAUGGUUUUCCAUGAUGAGCUUGGACUUUGGGGGUUUUGCUGGCCUAUGGUCGGCUCCUCUAAAAUAAAUCAGCUUACCAGUGUUUGGUGGGUAUCAUGGGUGUGAUAACUAUCUACGCUUGUGGUUUCCCACCAGAUGACCUUCAGCAAUGGAGGUUCGCUGGGGCUUAUAAAUGUCUCUCCUCGGCGAGGACAGAUUUUGACC
This 219-nucleotide unclassified non-coding RNA is filed under the name uncultured Tomentella. RNAcentral describes it as "sequence contains ITS2". Lineage: Eukaryota; Fungi; Basidiomycota; Agaricomycetes; Thelephorales; Thelephoraceae. The record is from RNAcentral.